Molecule: ribosomal RNA, 404 nt
Filed under: uncultured Bacteroides sp.
Lineage: Bacteria; Pseudomonadati; Bacteroidota; Bacteroidia; Bacteroidales; Bacteroidaceae
Description: bacterial SSU rRNA
Rfam family: Bacterial small subunit ribosomal RNA
Source: RNAcentral
GAGGAAUAUUGGUCAAUGGGCGCGAGCCUGAACCAGCCAAGUAGCGUGAAGGAUGACUGCCCUAUGGGUUGUAAACUUCUUUUAAGGGGGAAGAGUAGAAGACGGUACCCCUUGAAUAAGCCACGGCUAACUACGUGCCAGCAGCCGCGGUAAUACGGAGGAUGCAAGCGUUAUCCGGAUUUAUUGGGUUUAAAGGGAGCGUAGGCGGACUAUUAAGUCAGCUGUGAAAGUUUACGGCUCAACCGUGAAAUUGCAGUUGAAACUGGUCGUCUUGAGUGCAGUAAAGGUGGGCGGAAUUCGUGGUGUAGCGGUGAAAUGCUUAGAUAUCACGAAGAACUCCAACUGCGAAGGCAGCUCACUGGAGUGUAACUGACGCUGAUGCUCGAAAGUGUGGGUAUCAAACA